AAUGACAAGAGGUAGCAUAGGGAGGCCAAGGGGGACUAGAGGAGUUCGUCGAACAAGAGCUACAAUAGAUGACACAGGUGGGAGUGCAAAGGGGACUAGAGGGCGUGAUCGAUCAAGGGCUAGAACAUAUAACACAAGAGGGAGCACAACAGGACAUGGUCGAAGAAGGGGUGCAAGAAAUGAAAUAGAAGAGAUGGGUAGCAGAACAACAGGUGGCUCUGCCUUUGCAUUUUGCCCAAGAAUAAAUGGCAAUCCUGCUCAAAAUCUAGCCAUGGUGGAGGUUGACAUGACUUUGGAUGCACCAACAGAUGACAUGAGUCACCAACAUUCUCAAGCAUGAUUCCUUCAAUAGAGAAUCGUUGCUUUGAGAAGUGCUAAAUUUGGUUUUAAGGCUUGCUAUCAUUUUGUUCUAGAAUUGUGCUUGUAGAGACCUAGAAUUAUGCGAUAUUAUUUGAUUAUUUCCUUUCAAUUUAUUUAAGUUUGGA
This 485-nucleotide long non-coding RNA is filed under the name Setaria viridis. RNAcentral describes it as "long non-coding RNA (SVIR_LNC009086)". Lineage: Eukaryota; Viridiplantae; Streptophyta; Magnoliopsida; Poales; Poaceae. The record is from RNAcentral.